This is an RNA transcript of Camellia sinensis, 2386 nucleotides long. It is a transcript of the gene named AP-5 complex subunit zeta-1, with no coding region annotated. The record is from RefSeq and is a predicted model, not a curated record. NCBI's taxonomy places the organism in Eukaryota, Viridiplantae, Streptophyta, Magnoliopsida, Ericales, Theaceae.
CCAAACCAACCGCCUCUUGGUAUCAAUUUUGUUUUUUGAAAUAGUAAUUUGGAACGCAAUUUUUUUUGACAAAAACAAUUGCACAGAUUCCACUUCUCUCAAAUCCUCUAUAAAUCGGGACUGAUCAAUAAAUGUUGAUGAUCUUGUAUUGGAGAAGAAGAGAAGAAAAUUAGGGUUUCAAUUCGGUUCGAAAUGGUUGAUCGAGACAAGCAGUGGGACUUUCACCUCAGAACCUUAUCUGCUAGUGCCAGAGAUUCAAAUUUCGCCGAUCCUGUUUCCGAUCCGUCUCUUUUGAAUUCGGUGAAGAAGCUUCAUGAAUUGUGUAAAGCUGAGAAAUCUGAAGAUUUGAUAGCUAGGGUUUAUCCGCAACUUAACAAGAUUUUUCAACGCUCAGUGGCUUCGAUUUCUCAAUCUCGAACCUCUAGUGGUCUUCUUUUACUGGAAAUUCUUCAAUUUUUUAUUGAUUUUGGAGAGGUGGUUCUACAUGAUGCUGAUCCUAGUAUGAGGACCUUCUUUCGAUCAUGUUUGAGCCGUGAAUUUUCAGACCCUGUUGUUGCAGAAGCAACACUGGAUUUUCUGAAUCUUAACAAGAGAAAACUUUUAACGAAUUUCCCGGCAUUACUCCCUCAGUUUUUCCCAUUAAUGCUAAAGCUCAUUGCGUGGAAUGGAGAGAAAUUAGAAAAAUCCUUUCUAAGUGUGUUUCCCGCAUUGAUGUCUCUUGGGUCAUUUCUUCCACUAUUCCCAUCUCUCGUUGACUUACCGAUAUUGGUAGUGGCAUUGGAAAAGGUGGAGCGGAGCUCAGGAUCACUGAUUGGCAACAGCAUAGCUUCACUCCAGAAGAGUACGGCUCCUGAGAUGCUGCUUGCACUCAUGGACGAAGCAUAUACUGGAUCAACCAUAGGGGAUGGAGGGGCAGACUCUGAAUCUGACGAUAGCAAUACAAUGGCUGUAGCUGAUCCUCUGUUUCUUGAGCUCCUUAAGGAUGAGAAUGAUGGCCUUGCUGAGCGCCAUUGGACUUCUUCUGGGAUGGCUGCAGCAAUGCAGUCCACAAUAAGUGCCCCCCAAUCUGAUAGGCUGAAGCAUGCACUCAAGAUGACACCUAGACUCCUUGAUGUGUAUUUUGCUAUAGCAGUGCGUGAUGUCAAUGAUUCUUUAAUAUGUGCAUUGGUUCCCCUACUUAUGGCGAGAACUUCCACUCUAUUUCCAGACAAAAUUUUCUCUUACGAGGUUCAAAAGAGGCUCUUAGAAUUCAUGCUUGCUGCAUUCCAUCGAUCUCCUGAUUUUGUUGCACUUUUGAAGAAGCCUAUAAUUGACAGACUUGGAGAAGCUUAUGACAGUCCUGCAAAGACAGAGUUGGCCUUACAAUUGUGUUGGGCCAUUGGGGAGCAUGGAGGGGGUGGUGAAUCUCACAAAGAUGCAGCUCGGGAACUUUUCGAGAGUUUGGAACUACUUCUGUAUGAAAACCUUUCAUCCAGUCGUCUUGGUCUAAGGGAGUCAGCUCUUAGCUCUGGUAGUAUGACAUUCAGAAAAUCAUCACAGUCAAGACUGCUGUGUUUUGUUGUGACAGCCAUAGCAAAGCUUGCCACACAUCACCGCGAAUUACUUCCAAGGGCUCGGGUAUCCUUAGCCAAGGUGGCACGUUCUCGAAUCUCAGAUGUGAGGGUCUGGAGGCGUGCUCGUGAUUAUUUGGGCUUAAUGAAUGAACCUGCUAUAUGUUUGUCGGUCUUGGGUCCUUCAAGACCUUCAUACGUAUGUAAGCAGAGCCCAGGCACGGUCAAUUGGAAUGAAGGCGCUUCAAAAAUGACUGCUGAUAUUCCAUUUUACAUUCUAGGUGAACAUCAAGGCAAUGUUAUGGCAUGGGCACCCAAUCUUUCUGCAUUCAAAAUUUCCUAAUGCAAUAUUUGAGAUGCCAUCUUGGUGAACAUUCCCAAUAUAUAUAUAUUCAAAGGCCCUCCUUUCCAUGAUUUUUCAUUCUCAGACAUCUUUCCGAGAAGAUAAGGAGAGAUAGGUUGGCAGGAAGAAUCGCAUCAUCAAACAUAAGGAGAGGUUGUCCUAAUCUUUGCAGGAGAUGGCUUUUUCAGGUGCUGCUGCUACGGUGAUUAGUGGCCUCUUCUUUGGUGUUCUUUCAGCCUUUGGCCUCUUCUAUGGUGUUCUUUCAACCUUUGGACAGUGAUUAUGGAAUUCUGGUGUUUGUGAGGGUUUUUUUGGGUCAGGUUUUUUUUGUUUUGGUGCUGCUGUUGGCCUUUUUGUGCUGUUUAGCCUUUUAGCAUUCUUUUUGUUUACUGCUUUUGUUAAAUCAUAUCAUGUAAUAUCUUUUAUGCAAUGAGGCUUAUUGAUAAAUUCAUUAUCCAGGACUCAUAUUGAUAAAUUUAUUAUUUUAAAUUUA